Molecule: ribosomal RNA, 466 nt
Filed under: uncultured bacterium
Lineage: Bacteria
Description: partial 16S ribosomal RNA
Rfam family: Bacterial small subunit ribosomal RNA
Source: RNAcentral
GAUGAACGCUGGCGGCGUGCUUAACACAUGCAAGUCGAACGAUGAAGCCCAGCUUGCUGGGUGGAUUAGUGGCGAACGGGUGAGUAACACGUGAGUAACCUGCCCUUAACUCUGGGAUAAGCCUGGGAAACUGGGUCUAAUACCGGAUAGGAGCGUCCCCCGCAUGGUGGGUGUUGGAAAGAUUUAUCGGUUUUGGAUGGAUUCGCGGCCUAUCAGCUUGUUGGUGAGGUAAUGGCUCACCAAGGCGACGACGGGUAGCCGGCCUGAGAGGGUGACCGGCCACACUGGGACUGAGACACGGCCCAGACUCCUACGGGAGGCAGCAGUGGGGAAUAUUGCACAAUGGGCGCAAGCCUGAUGCAGCGACGCCGCGUGAGGGAUGACGGCCUUCGGGUUGUAAACCUCUUUCAGUAGGGAAGAAGCGAAAGUGACGGUACCUGCAGAAGAAGCACCGGCUAACUACGUG